GAGAGAAUGAGAGUGAGCACAUCCAGGCGGAUGGGAUAGGCAGGAAUACUUAUCAGUGCUCAAUUCCUUCUCACUCUGUCAUGCUUCCCUGCU
RNAcentral lists this microRNA precursor (93 nucleotides) under Echinops telfairi (small Madagascar hedgehog). RNAcentral's name for it is "miRNA (ENSETEG00000023788.1)". Lineage: Eukaryota; Metazoa; Chordata; Mammalia; Afrosoricida; Tenrecidae. The record is from RNAcentral.